This is a long non-coding RNA of Vigna radiata var. radiata (mung bean), 335 nucleotides long. RefSeq lists it as uncharacterized. The transcript has 2 exons. The record is from RefSeq and is a predicted model, not a curated record. Lineage: Eukaryota; Viridiplantae; Streptophyta; Magnoliopsida; Fabales; Fabaceae.
CUCACCACUCGCUUGUGGUCGAAUUCUGUGUUCACAAAAACCACUCUGCAACCAUUCUCGACCAAUUUCUGUGACAGGAUCAUGAAGAGGUUCACAUGCCCUUGUGCUGGAAGAGAUGACGAGGAAGUUACUUAGGAGAGAGCCUUGGAAGGAAACAUAGAUGUUGCAGCUUAGUUCUUUAGGCCUUGUUAUUUUGAUCUCAAUUUAUUCUGAAGAACUUUAUCAUGUUUUUAAAGUUUUAAAUUCCUAGUCUUUUUACAAGAGGUCUAUGAUACUCCAAUUCUAGAUUCUUGUACUGUUUAAGGAUGACUGUAAACACCUCCAUUAUUCUCUAA